RNAcentral lists this ribosomal RNA (460 nucleotides) under uncultured bacterium. Its description in RNAcentral is "partial 16S ribosomal RNA". It matches the Rfam family "Bacterial small subunit ribosomal RNA", at positions 338 to 795 of the family's 1533-position model. The record is from RNAcentral.
CCUACGGGAGGCAGCAGUGAGGAAUAUUGGUCAAUGGACGAGAGUCUGAACCAGCCAAGUAGCGUGAAGGAUGACUGCCCUAUGGGUUGUAAACUUCUUUUAUAUGGGAAUAAAAUGUUCCACGUGUGGGAUUUUGUAUGUACCAUAUGAAUAAGGAUCGGCUAACUCCGUGCCAGCAGCCGCGGUAAUACGGAGGAUCCGAGCGUUAUCCGGAUUUAUUGGGUUUAAAGGGAGCGUAGGUGGAUUGUUAAGUCAGUUGUGAAAGUUUGCGGCUCAACCGUAAAAUUGCAGUUGAAACUGGCAGUCGUGAGUACAGUAGAGGUGGGCGGAAUUCGUGGUGUAGCGGUGAAAUGCUUAGAUAUCACGAAGAACUCCGAUUGCGAAGGCAGCUCACUGGACUGAAACUGACACUGAGGCUCGAAAGUGUGGGUAUCAAACAGGAUUAGAUACCCCAGUAGUC